AGGUGACCAGGUGUGAAUAAGCUGUCAGGUAAUUACAGGUGCGGUUUUAGGCAUGAUCCUGCUCCUGAACCUAAGUAAAUACAUUAACGCCAGUGAACACCUGUUAGUGAGCAAAGUUCCUUUUUGUUAUCUGUUGUUUGAGCUGGUGUUUUUAUUCUUUAUCGUCCAGAUCUUGACACAUCACUGGAUAUCUAAACAAUGGUUGAAUGUAGGGAGGAAAGUCUUGUGAAGAGUAGCCGUCAUCUUCAUAAUUGCACCUUGAUCACUUUUUGAAGCUUGUUAUGACAGGUUGUCUUGUUUUCUGAGUAAAAGGUUUACUUUUUUUAAUUUGGAUUUCCGUCACAUCACAGAGAUUUCACCACUGUAUUCACUCCAAAUUAAUCUCUUCUGAGUACCAGAGGAGGACUCACCAUGUGGCUAAAAGGUUUUAUAAGUAACCAUGUCAACAUGAAACUUCUGAAGACCUGUGUCAUCCUUCUCCUUCUGACUGUGUUGUUCUUUACACUAAGAAACAUGGACCUGCUGCAGCUCAAGUCACUCUUCUCUCCGGUGAUGACUCUCCUGUGUUUGUCGAGCCUACUGAUCUGGUACUUACUGGACAGGGAUAUCUUACAGUGAAAGACGACAGUGACAGUGAAAGAGAAGCAGGCAAGAGUGAAACAUUGACUGGAUCCAUAAUCAAAGGACUAGCUUUUUACCUGGAACAUGAAGAGCUCAAGUCACUCUCUCUCCGGUGAUGACUCUCCUGUGUUUGUCGAGCCUACUGAUCUGGUACUUACUGGAAAGUGAUGUGGACCAGCACUUACCCGCCCCUCAGAUGAAAAGAGCCCCAAGA
Molecule: non-coding RNA, 835 nt
Organism: Labrus bergylta (ballan wrasse)
Lineage: Eukaryota; Metazoa; Chordata; Actinopteri; Labriformes; Labridae
Source: RefSeq, a predicted model, not a curated record